GAAAUAAACGGACUGAUCGUGUGCACAAGUGGUACAUGGCCGCGUAAAAUCAGUGAAAUCUGAUCGUGACGAAAGGAACGCAGGAACUGCCCGUGUCUCCGACCGCGGGAAAAUUGAUCUCUCGAGGGAGCUUAUAUCUUUCGAAGAUUUCUCAUCUCCGAUAUGGAUCACACGAUGUUAUUCGAGCUCCGAGAGUGUGCGAUCGCGAUAAUCGAUGCGACCGAACUAUCCCGCCCCGUCGGCUGCUAGAAUAUCCUCAUCUCGCGCUUGUCUCGAAUGUAUUCGUGUAAAAAAUAUGAAUUUUGAGGAAUCGCGUGUUGAUUUCCGAAGAUGUGAGUUAAUGCACGUCGAUGGUACAGUCAAGCAGCACACGGAUGAACAAGAGAUAGCACGACGAUGAGGUGUCGAAUGAUCGAUGUUCUUCGUUUCGCGAAGAACACAGCAGCAGCCUUGAGAGGAUCGCAUAAAAUGGUGCUGAAGGGGACAGAAGGGGGAAAGACGAGGAGGAAGAAACACGAGGGGAGAAGAAUGGAGCUGCGGGAAGACUAGGGGAAUGAGAGGGAAGGGAAAGAUGCCGGCUGGCAAGCAGAUGGUUGCCCCGUUUAUUGGUUUAUUCGUCGGUUCAGCCAUGACGUUCCGUCUAGCCAUGAAACAAACCGGAGAUUCUGCCUGUGUUAGAGAGUAUCAAAUAACGAGACCACGACUACUCUUUCCAUUAAAAAUGCAUCCAAGAGCUGCUUGUUCGUAGCGCCGUAUUGGCAAGGAUAUUAAAGCUGUUUCGGCGGCGACGUGUAAACGUGCAAGAACAUAUAGAUGAAAUCCAGUAAUGGCGUCCUAGGGGCGGACGAAAUACUCGGGUCGAUAGAAGGAAGGCUACCUACAGAGCUCAAAUACUCUCUCAUCUUACUGCCGACAAUCACCCCCACCAACAACCUUCUUUAGCGGCUCAUCGUCGGAAAUAUAAUCGGCAAUUAUUUUAAACUUUUUUAUUUAGGGAAUCUUGGUGUUCUCGUACGGAUGUAACUAUGUCGAUAAAGCGAAUUGCAAGGUGACAGAAUGUAAAAAAAUAAUAUAUCGUUAGUGAAUGAUAAAAACUAUUUAUAAAAAUAAGGUAAUUAAAAUAAAUUCUUAGCAAGAAUUUUGCGUAAACAUUGUUUAUAAUGUUCACACAGAACGUUGCACAGGCUUAACGGGUUACUUUUAGCAAAGCACUUUUAACAAUUCUCAAGGGAAAUUAGUGCGAAAUGUUCUGAGAGAGAAAUAGAGAUGUUUUCAUACGUCAAUAGUUAAGUAUGGUAUUAUAAGCUAAAGGAUGGAAAUAUUUUGAAGUCGAAGGUGUUUUCAUACACCUUAAUCCGGAUCAGGGUCCGAAAUCCGUAGUUUAAGAGGAUUAACAUCAUCAGCCAAUUUAAGGGAGCGACCAAUAUGUUCACUACAAUAGGAAAAUCUUUCGGUUUCCCAAUAGAGGAGGAAACUAAUUCGUACAAAUAUGCGUGCAGCUACCGUUUCUUAUUUCUCACUUUCGUUAAGUACGUCUCUCUUUUAGUUUUUUUUCCUAUAAAAUAUUUACGCCGAGAUGUAUCGUUCAUAGAACAUGCUCCGUAUUAUCGUUGUAAUAUCGCUAGUUUUGUUAAGAUCAUGUUAAGAUUGUCAUCUUUUUCUUUUUUCUUUUUCUUUUUUUUUAGUAAUUGCAUGCAAACGAUCUGCACGCUCGCGUCAUGACCAAGUAACCUGGAAAUGAAAGGUACGUCGACACACGUACAGGAAUAAAAGGAGCUGUACCGCUAAGAAGACGAAGAAGAAGAAGAAGAAAACCAAGGAGAACGCGACCUUGCUACAUUCAGCUGUGUCAUCCUCAAGCCGUUAACGCUCAGGUGGUUUCGAUCCCAGGGACGAGCAUCAAUCAUCAUCGGUAGUGCAGGUGUAAUGUGAUCAUUGUCACUGAGAUAACCCAGUACGAUAUUCAUUUAUGAAGCGUGUUAAGUGACAUAACAGAGUUUAUCUGUAACAGCGUAUCUAAAUACUUUGUGAAAGAAGCGACUUCAAUAUUAGUUCCUCGAUAACAUGCAAUUUGUUGGGGCAGAUCGUUGUCGGGCCAGAGCCAUUACGAAACAAUCGUUCAUUCAUAUUUAACGAAAGUGGAAAGGCUCUAAAGAUGUAAAAGUAUAGUAGCGGAGAAACGCUAAUUAAAGUUUAAACACAGUUGCGAGAGUAAACGAAUACGUAAGGAAAGAGGAAAAGUAGCGAAUUAUUCCGACUUAUCACGAGGAAGACCCAAAAUAAAAUCAAAACAUUCGACAGAUUUAUUUAUGUAGUUACAGGAUUAUUUAAUAUGCGAGAUUAGUACGAAAUACUUAAAUAUGAUUUUUCUAAAAGCCGUUGAAGUUUCCUUUCUUACAUCGAAGUAACGAAAAUUGCGAUCAAAUAGCGAUGAAAAUUAUGACUGUGCUUAUGCAAAAACGAGGCACAAAAGUUGAGCAAAAACAGAUCCUGCCCUGCUUUCUUGAGAAGUGACUCGGCAUACCUAAGCUAUUUCCGUAUGACCAUGCACUUCGUAAACUCGCGAGCAUGCUAAUUUGAAAUUACAUUCUAUAGCUUCGACGAUAUUUAUUCUUCGGAAGGCAAACAUAGCUAACACGGCAUAAAUUAUUAGAAAAAAAUCGAAUAUAUAGAUUUAUAUAAAUGGUUGCGUUAUUAAAAUUGAUGAAAUACGUACUACAUUUCGAACGGAGUUUAAACGUUUAUGAUAAUAUUUAUUCUGAGAAUUAUAAAUUGAUAAUGACAGUAGAUGAAGUUGCACGGUAAUAUAGUUACAUUGUUUCAAUCAAAAUACAGAAAUUAGUAUUAAUAGGAAAAUAUUUUCAGGUUCCUAAAUGGUACCUGUGAAGUCUACCGAAGAUCACAUACUGGGCGGACAAAGAAGUUAAGACCGGCACGUAUAUAUAUAUACAUAUAUAUAUAUAUAUAUAUGCAUAUACAUGCACUCCAAAUAUUUUUAAAUAGAUAAGAAUAUUAACGAUAAUCACAUAAAAAUGAUGUGCCGCACAAGAAAGCCCAGUUAAUGCUCUACAUCUACCCUGUAGAUCCGAAUUUGUUUGAUAAGAGGCGACAAAUUCGGUUCUAGAGAGGUUUGUGUGGUGCAUACAGAGCAACGGUGAUCUUUGAAUAAACGUAAUCAAAUAAUAGAGAUCUUGUAAAAAAUCAGUUAUCGUUCAAUAUUAAUCACCGGAUACACUAAAGUUCCUGAAUCUGAUAUGGCGUGAUAAGUAUAAAUAUUAAAAAUGAAACACAAGUUUUUAAUAUUUUAAAAGUUUGUAUACUGUAUAUAAUAUUGUAUAUUGUAUAUACAUAGUAAAUUAUGUACGCGUAUAUAACAGAUUAUAACUUAUGACUGCAGCAAAACUUGUAACACAUACAUAAAUCAUGUUAAGACUUACAAAAUAUUUGUAGAUACAAGAUAUACAUGUAUUACAAGUUUGAAUAUCGAAUUUGUGUAAUGUGAGUUUUAUGUAAUAUUAGGUGCGUCUAUAGAAAUUCUUCCCGUAAUAUCUAAUACUUGACAAUCUUUUGCAAUUAAAAUAUUUCUUUUAAUUUUUCGACGAUUUUUAAUUAUUAUUAUUUGUGAGAAAUACUUGUAUUAACAGUUUGAAGAAACGAUGUAACAUAUACAUUGACAUAACUACUAAAAACAUAGGAGAAAUUUUUAUCGAACAUGAAUUUAAUUUUUUCAAGAUAAAGUUUGACUUACAAAAAAGCGGAAAGAAUUUCUGUAUACGCAUAAUAUUAUACGAUUGUAUUCUAAACAUCAAUAAUGUCAGGUCACUCAUAAAAUCUAAGCUCACUGUUGAUCUUAGUAACAUUAGGUACACGUGAAGUUAUCACAGUGACAGAUUAACAGCGCUGGUGAAAGAUUGUGUCGCUUCCUCAAGUACUCUACAUUUAUGACUCACGAAUAUCCAGGCAAAAUGCAUAAGACUGAAAAUUUUCCGAUGACCGUAAAUCUCUAAAUAAGUGAACGGGUAUUAUUGGCGUUUAGUGUACAAUUGGAUAUGUCGUUAGGUAUAUUUUUGAAUUUGUUUAUACAUAUGAUAGAAGAGUUAUUAAUAGCGACAGAAAAAUUUUUAAUAUAAAAAAGAACUAAUGGACGUCAUUACGCCCAUGGACUUGGUUGCAUGCACAUUGGUAUAUCGUCGAUGAUGAACUGCUACGUCUAGCGUGACCUGUUGCAUAUAAGUUCACUCACACAUCGCAUUAAAUUGCACAUUCUCCUCGUAGUUUAUACAGGUCAAUUCAAAUUCUAUUUGCGCAAUUAAUACUACAGUAUGUAACAAAAUAUCCACGGAAUGUUAAUUUUGGCUGCUAAAUUUUGAUAUGUAUAAACUUAUUUUACAGAAGAAAAAGUAUUUCGCAUUAUCUAAUAAGAUGUUUCUAAUGAUUUUCUCGAUAAAUUUCACACUAAAAGUUUAGUGAAUUAAUUAUAAAUAAUGCUGCUUGCGAAAUUAUUCCCGAUUUAUUUAUUUUGUUUUUUGUUAUAUAUAAUACUUUCUUUUGAGUUUGUUUAUAACUUUAUGAUUCAAUAAUGUAAUUUAUAAGUUUAAUAACAUGAUAUAUAUGACAAAUAUAUCCACGUAUACAUGUUUUUUUACAAAAUUUUAUGUAAUUUAAAAUGUGAUUUAAAGAUAUGACGAAUAGUGUAUGGCAAUUUGAACAAAUUAGUUAAUUACUUCGAAAAGUUUAUUUUUAUGGCAAAAAUGUGAAUAUGUGCAUAUGGUUAUAAUUACCGUGCGUAUGGUUAUAGUUACCGUACAAUUCCAACGAUGGUAUUUCCCGUGCUGAACACGCCCCGGACACCUGUGAAUAUUUCAAUCCGAAGAGAACGGCAUGUCUUAUCCGUACCACCCAGUAUGCUAUAUUUUUUAAUAUCUUAUUCUUUUUACCAGGAGCCUUCAUUAAAUGUACGUCUAUCGCUCAGCGAAUAUGCGAUUUCUUGAAUCUUUCUGUAACGGCUGCGGCAAAUCCAUUAAUCUCUGAUCGUGUUCAUAUUAAAAUGACAUACCAGUCGUUACGCAACUACUCAUAAGUGCUAAUGAAGUGCAUACACAAGUGUAAUUACCAAUCGAGUGGACUGCCCACUUUUCACUCGUAAUAUAAUCUAGUGAAUAAAAAAGAGUGGUUUCAUAAUGACACGGCGAGGAAAAACGCAGUCACGUCUCACGUAGAUCAGCAAUUACCAGCUGAUGGUUCGCUGGAAGUUAACAUUAGAAACUCUGUAAGCGUCCCUCGUGGAAUGUAUUUAGUUUCGCAUCAUUCUCAACGAUAGGAAUUUAUUUAUACAUAAUUUUCCAACAUAUAAAUGAUAUCGUAAAAGAACAAAUUGCGAAAAACAGUCGAAAAAACAUAUGAAGCAUGCAGGAUAUAGCAUGGAUGAUGAAUCGUAUUCCAUUCAGUUUCU
Dinoponera quadriceps is the source of this 5452-nucleotide long non-coding RNA. RefSeq lists it as uncharacterized. NCBI's taxonomy places the organism in Eukaryota, Metazoa, Arthropoda, Insecta, Hymenoptera, Formicidae. The transcript has 5 exons. The record is from RefSeq and is a predicted model, not a curated record.